GACUCGUCACACUAUCAUUAACUGAAUCCAUAGGUUAAUGAGGCGAACCGGGGGAACUGAAACAUCUAAGUACCCCGAGGAAAAGAAAUCAACCGAGAUUCCCCCAGUAGCGGCGAGCGAACGGGGAGGAGCCCAGAGCCUGAAUCAGCAUGUGUGUUAGUGGAAGCGUCUGGAAAGGCGCGCGAUACAGGGUGACAGCCCCGUACACAAAAGCGCAUGUGCUGUGAGCUCGAUGAGUAGGGCGGGACACGUGGUAUCCUGUCUGAAUAUGGGGGGACCAUCCUCCAAGGCUAAAUACUCCUGACUGACCGAUAGUGAACCAGUACCGUGAGGGAAAGGCGAAAAGAACCCCGGCGAGGGGAGUGAAAAAGAACCUGAAACCGUGUACGUACAAGCAGUGGGAGCACCCUUUGGGGUGUGACUGCGUACCUUUUGUAUAAUGGGUCAGCGACUUAUAUUCUGUAGCAAGGUUAACCGAAUAGGGGAGCCGGAGGGAAACCGAGUCUUAAUUGGGCGUUAAGUUGCAGGGUAUAGACCCGAAACCCGGUGAUCUAGCCAUGGGCAGGUUGAAGGUUGGGUAACACUAACUGGAGGACCGAACCGACUAAUGUUGAAAAAUUAGCGGAUGACCUGUGGCUGGGGGUGAAAGGCCAAUCAAACCGGGAGAUAGCUGGUUCUCCCCGAAAGCUAUUUAGGUAGCGCCUCGUGAAUUCAUCUCCGGGGGUAGAGCACUGUUUCGGCUAGGGGGCCAUCCCGGCUUACC
RNAcentral lists this ribosomal RNA (763 nucleotides) under Salmonella enterica. RNAcentral describes it as "partial 23S ribosomal RNA". It matches the Rfam family "Bacterial large subunit ribosomal RNA", at positions 137 to 940 of the family's 2925-position model. The record is from RNAcentral. Lineage: Bacteria; Pseudomonadati; Pseudomonadota; Gammaproteobacteria; Enterobacterales; Enterobacteriaceae.